Molecule: transfer RNA, 81 nt
Organism: Aspergillus carbonarius ITEM 5010
Lineage: Eukaryota; Fungi; Ascomycota; Eurotiomycetes; Eurotiales; Aspergillaceae
Rfam family: tRNA
About the family: Transfer RNA (tRNA) molecules are approximately 80 nucleotides in length.
Source: Rfam
GGCAAGAUGGCCGAGUGGUUAAGGCGAUGGUCUUAAGAUCCAUUAUCGUGAGAUGCACGGGUUCGAACCCCGUUCUUGCCA